This 508-nucleotide ribosomal RNA is filed under the name uncultured Prevotellaceae bacterium. RNAcentral describes it as "bacterial SSU rRNA". It matches the Rfam family "Bacterial small subunit ribosomal RNA", at positions 8 to 507 of the family's 1533-position model. The record is from RNAcentral. Lineage: Bacteria; Pseudomonadati; Bacteroidota; Bacteroidia; Bacteroidales; Prevotellaceae.
AGAGUUUGAUCCUGGCUCAGGAUGAACGCUAGCUACAGGCUUAACACAUGCAAGUCGAGGGGCAGCAUGGAAGAAGCUUGCUUCUUCUGAUGGCGACCGGCGCACGGGUGCGUAACGCGUAUCAAACCUGCCUCAUACUCGGGGAUAGCCUUGCGAAAGUAAGAUUAAUACCCGAUGUUGUUAUGUUACCGCAUGGUGAUAUAACCAAAGAUUUAUCGGUAUGAGAUGGUGAUGCGUCCGAUUAGGUAGUAGGCGGGGUAACGGCCCACCUAGCCUUCGAUCGGUAGGGGUUCUGAGAGGAAGGUCCCCCACACUGGAACUGAGACACGGUCCAGACUCCUACGGGAGGCAGCAGUGAGGAAUAUUGGUCAAUGGACGAAAGUCUGAACCAGCCAAGUAGCGUGCAGGAUGACGGCCCUCUGGGUUGUAAACUGCUUUUAGUUGGGAAUAAAAAGAGGACGUGUCCUCUAUUGUAUGUACCUUCAGAAAAGGACCGGCUAAUUCCGUG